AAAAAUAUUGAUUUUAUUCUGCCUCGUAUUGAAGCGGCGAAUUAAUGAUAUUUUAAAUUUUUUAUUAAUGUUGAUUCAAACUCUGUCCUUCCAUGCCACCAUAAAAACUAGUUCCGCAAUUUCAUCUGUCUCGGUUUUUUUUAUAUGUUCAGAUGUUUAUAAUAUUAUAAAUUUUUUAUUGCUUUU
Molecule: small RNA, 186 nt
Filed under: Arabidopsis thaliana (thale cress)
Lineage: Eukaryota; Viridiplantae; Streptophyta; Magnoliopsida; Brassicales; Brassicaceae
Description: ATSL170040
Source: RNAcentral